ACCCAUUUAAAGCUCGUCAAAGGACUUGUUCAAUAUCCUGGGUCCCUUUCUGUUCAUUUUUUCUCUCCCCCCGUGCUGUCCUCCUUCAACUUUCCCCGACCACCCCUCCUCUUUUUAAGCUCUUGGCACCAAGUAACUAUGAAGACUCUGAGAACUGGACCAUCCCAAGGCUGUAGCUUUCUUCAAGCCUGGCAGGCUCUGUCGUGGUGAAGAGUCUGAAGGCUUUUUCUUUUCCAGUAACACAGGAGGUGAUUGAAUGGAAGGAGUGGCCAGUCACUCUUUGGCGUCCAGGAUCCAAGAAGAAACAGAUGAGGAGGAAGGAGGAUAAACAACUUCUGGACAAAGCGAGCCUUCCUUCACUGGCCUUCUCUCCUUUCUCUCCCGAGGGACAUUGUGACUUUGAGGCCUCUUACCUCUGCAAACUAGCCAGGAGAAAAGCUGUGACUGAAGAAACUGCCUCCUCCAAAGUUUCUGGGCCCUGCCCUUCACAGGGCAAUGUUCCCAGCUAUGGUAAGAAGCAAAGAGAAGACAAAGACCAAAGCCUGAGGCAGAAGGAGCUGCAAGGCUUAAUAAGCUUCAGCAAUCCUUUUACAAUAGAGAUGCUGCAAGGAGGGCAGAAGCUCUAAUCACUCUGCAGAAGACCCAGCUGGAGGAAAUGAGAUCUCACGUGGGGAUCAAGGGUUGUAGGAGUGGGAGGAAGAUGUAGAGAAGAAGAACUUUUUCACUGGAGACAUUGUAAAACCAUGACAUCCUUUGCUGAAAGGGACAAGGAAGCAACUUCCCUGGAGGUUCAGAAAGUAGAAUUAUAGUUGCUGUCGGAUGUUAAAUGUAGAUCUGGAAGUCGUGGUGAAAAACUAGGCUGGGUUACACUGGAUGCUCAUCCAAAGUCUCUGUUCUGAUUCCAGUUGCCCAGUUUGUAGGAGGAAGAGCAGAAGAGAGGACAGUUGAGUGCAUCUGUGGAGGGCACAUGGAGACACUGGGUAACAGCCUGGGAUUCCUUGUUUUUCUGAGCACCACAUCAGGUAUCAGGAAGGUAGGGCUGGGAUGUGAGUCUGCUGCUGACCAGCAUUCUGACCUGGGGCUGACUCUGGCCACAGUUCUAACAACUGUGAAAUGAGAGAAUAAGAUCAGAUUUAAAUGCAACAAACUUUUAUUAAAGAUGUGUAGGAAACAACAUUGAAUAAUAACUGUUCAUGGCCUGCAGGGUUACACAACUAGGGAGAUGACACACACACACACACACACACACACACACACACACACACACAUAUACAUUCAGAUGUGGUUAUAAUAGGGAAUGAACAGUAUUUUAAGGGAAAAUGAGGCAGGAGAGAAAUUGGUUUCACCUUUGGAGGAGGUAGGCCUUGAGUACGAUUGAAUAAGGUGCUGAUGGGUGGAAAUGGAUGUAAAGAACAGGAGGUGUCUCUGGAAGAUAAAACAGGCGAACAAAAAGAGGGACCAGAAGACUGGGUAGGUGCAGAGGGUCAGUUCUGGGAGUGAGCAGCAGGUGGCUAUGGUGUGAGCACAGGUACAUAUCACAUGGCAGGGACUCAGGCAACAUCUGCUGAGUGACAAGUGGCGGCAGUGAGGUUGUACGGGAGGACAGGGAGGCCUGUUCCUGGCAGGGGAGCCACAUGCAUGUGGAGCUCAUAUGGGUUUCUGAAAGGGAGACAGGCCACUCUGAUGGGCUCUGUGUCCAAGGACAGGGAGACCACGGGAAGCGAGGCCCAAAGGCUGAGAGGUAAGGUCCAGGGAGGAGAAGGAAAGGGUUUGAAUUCAGAUAGCAACACCGGAGUGGGAGGGAUCUGAAAAAUAGAGCAGAAGCUCCUUCAGGCAUCCGGAGGCUGACCAGACAUGCAGGGAGACAGAGAAGAAAGAGAUGAAGAGAAUGCUGGGUUUUGAGCCUGGGCAGUGGGGAGGGUAGAAAUACAGAAAGAGACAAACAGCCUCAAGGAGAGGUUUGGGGAGGAGAAGAUCAGUUCAAUUUCGUGAGAAGUUCUGCAGGGUGUCUAAGCAGAGACGGCCAGCAGAGUAGGCCGGUAGAAAUGUGGGGAUCUGGGGAGCUGGAAAUCGGGGGCUCAUGGAAGCACUGGCUGAAGAUGUGGACGCGGAGGAGAGAGACAGAAGCGAUGUGCUGGGAGAGGAGGCCCGGCCAGCAGAGGAGCAGGACAAGGAAGAGGACGCCAUGCUUGUGGCUGUGCACUGGAAGCACUGGAGAUCCUGCUGCCACACAGCUUCCGGUCCAGGCUGAGGACGGCGGCCACUUGGUGUGGAAGACACAGGAGCUGUUGCAUUUGCACCCAGGUUGUAAAACAAGAUGGUGAUAUUGUAGAAGAAGAUGCAAAAAUUCCAAUUUUAAAAGCAAAACCAGAAAACUUCAAGGACACGUGGUGCUUGCUGCCAUCUGUUUCCGGUUCUGCAGAGUAUGUGUUUGCUCCCUCCUGCCUCCUGGGAGCUUGGUGGGAGAGUUUGGGAAGUGUUGCCAGGGAACCCACCCUAAGAAGCCUG
Molecule: long non-coding RNA, 2508 nt
Filed under: Homo sapiens (human)
Lineage: Eukaryota; Metazoa; Chordata; Mammalia; Primates; Hominidae
Description: HSALNT0377683
Source: RNAcentral